Cryptomeria japonica (Japanese cedar) is the source of this 2015-nucleotide RNA transcript. It is a transcript of the gene named 4-hydroxyphenylpyruvate dioxygenase, with no coding region annotated. NCBI's taxonomy places the organism in Eukaryota, Viridiplantae, Streptophyta, Pinopsida, Cupressales, Cupressaceae. The record is from RefSeq and is a predicted model, not a curated record. The transcript is spliced from 3 exons.
UACGUGGAUUAGAACAAAACUUCUCCCACUUCAGAUGAGAUAAUAACCAAAUCCCUCUCAUGGCAGAGGAGUUAGUCAAUCCAACUUAAACACGAACAACGGUCGCCAGCUCGUUCACGCAUCGUUGGAAUCACUCCUAUAAAAACCAAUCUAAUUCCCCUGUUCGAUACAAAUCCGAGCCUCGGCAAACUUACCCAAUUCUGUAAAGAUUUGAUCUUUGAUUCCAGAGGGAAGAGAAAUUGAUCAGCGGCCAUGGGAAAGGAUGAAGGGAGCUUCAAGCUGGUGGGCUUCAAGAAUUUCGUCCGCCAGAAUCCCAUGAGCGACCGCUUCGCAGUGAAGAAAUUCCACCACAUCGAGUUCUGGUGCGGCGAUGCCACCAACACUUACAGGCGCUUCUCAUGGGGUCUCGGCAUGCAAUUGGUCGCAAAGUCCGACCAGACCACGGGCAACCAGACCUACUGCAGCUUCGCCAUUAAGUCCAAUGACCUGCAAUUCGUGUUCACGGCACCCUACUCUUCAAACAUCGACCAGAGCAAUUCGAAGCCGCCUCACCCGGCCUUCGAUGCGGAGGAUUCCCGGCGAUUCUUCGCCAAGCACGGCCUGGCUGUCCGAGCCGUGGGAAUCCUCGUUGAUGACGCUGCACAGGCCUUCGACAGAAGCGUGGAAGGAGGCGCGAUUGCAGUGCUGGAGCCCAGCGUUUUGGUCGAUGAGAGCAGCGGGGGAAAGGUGUGCAUAUCUGAGGUUAAGCUUUACGGAGAUGUAGUGCUGCGCUAUGUGAGUAAAAUUGGCUAUGAGGGCCCCUUUUUGCCCAAUUAUGAAGCUGUGCAGUCUGUGCCCCUGUCCUACGGACUCGUGAGACUGGACCAUGCUGUGGGCAAUGUUGAGGUGCUGGAGGACGCUAUCGCUCAUGUUGCAAAAUUUACGGGGUUUCAUCGCUUUGCGGAAUUUACAGCCGAGGACGUUGGGACUACCGAUAGCGGGCUCAAUUCCAUGGUGUUGGCAAACAAUAAUGAGAUGGUGUUGCUGCCGAUGAACGAGCCUGUGUAUGGGACGAAGAGGAAGUCUCAGAUUCAGACUUAUUUGGAGCAUAAUGAGGGCCCCGGGCUUCAGCAUCUUGCUAUUUUAUGCUUCGAUAUAUUCGCCACUCUCAAGGAGAUGCGCCUUAGGAGUGAGAUUGGAGGGUUUGAAUUUAUGCCCAAGCCUCCGCCUACUUAUUAUAAGAACUUGCGGAACAGGGUUCCCGAUGUGCUGACCGAGAAACAGAUGGAGGAGUGCGAGGAAUUGGGGAUUUUGGUUGAUAGGGACGAUCAAGGUGUGCUUCUGCAGAUUUUCACAAAACCCCUUGGGGAUAGGCCUACCAUAUUCAUUGAGAUAAUCCAACGCUUAGGCUGCAUGAUAACUGAUGAACAUGGGAAGGCCUAUCAAAAGGGUGGAUGUGGAGGAUUUGGCAAAGGCAACUUCUCUGAACUUUUCAAAUCCAUUGAGGAAUACGAAAAGACUCUUGAAGGGAGAACUCAGGCCUAGGCUUAAGCUAGGUAGGAGGCAGUCCCACAAUCAGAUCUUUCUUUGUGUUGGACGCCUAGUGAAUGUAUACAGUACAAAUUUCAGAAUUUAAAUCAAUAAAGCAGGACACAUGGAUUGAAUGCAAAUUAUUAAUGAAGCUUGAAAACUCUGUUGAUUGUUGACUAUGUUCCCUAAAUACUAUUGAAGUGAUUGGCAGACGUUGCUGGCUGGAACUCAAAUACUGAGGCUGCUAUUCUUUCAGAAAUUCGGGCUCACUACCUUGUAAGUUGUAAGCAUUGAUCUGUAUGCAAUUCUGAAGAGAUUUGGCAUGGACCAUCCAUUCUGUUUUGUAGAAGCCUUGUGGACUGUACACAUGAAAUAUCUAUUGCCAACUACAAAACUAUUCUAGAACUAAGCUGUAACAACGUUGUCUUGGCAGAUGUGUCCUUUACAAUGGAAUCGUGUCUUCUAAUUUGUUCCUUGCUAAUAUAAGUUUGCCUGAUUUUAAGAUA